Small nuclear RNA from Nannospalax galili (Upper Galilee mountains blind mole rat), 162 nucleotides. Its record names the gene U1. It matches the Rfam family "U1 spliceosomal RNA". From Rfam's summary of the family: U1 is a small nuclear RNA (snRNA) component of the spliceosome (involved in pre-mRNA splicing). Its 5' end forms complementary base pairs with the 5' splice junction, thus defining the 5' donor site of an intron. NCBI's taxonomy places the organism in Eukaryota, Metazoa, Chordata, Mammalia, Rodentia, Spalacidae. The record is from Ensembl.
AUACUUACCUGGAAGAACAGACACCAUUAUCACAAAGGUGGUUUUCCCAUUGCAGGGCUCAUCCAUCAUAUUCCAGAUAUGCUGACUAUUGCAAUUUUCCUAAAGGUGGAAAACUUUACUGCAUAAUUUGUGCUAUUGAAAGAGUAUGUUCAUGCUCUCCUA